RNAcentral lists this unclassified non-coding RNA (228 nucleotides) under Hevea brasiliensis (rubber tree). The record is from RNAcentral. Lineage: Eukaryota; Viridiplantae; Streptophyta; Magnoliopsida; Malpighiales; Euphorbiaceae.
GGAACAUGCUGAAGCAAAGCAUCCCAAAUCAGAGCUGACUCAGUGCUUUCCCCAUCUUAAAUCAUCAUAAGAGUGUUCCAAGUUAAGAAGCAUCUUGCUCCAUCAAAUCAACUUAUGUCUAUAUAUUUCAUCUAGAGUUGUGUAAUUGAAACCUUGAAUGGUGUGGAAACAAUGCUGUGUUUGCAUAUUUAAACCGAGUUUUAUGCUGCUUUAAUAUCCUAGCCAACA